AGAGUUUGAUCCUGGCUCAGGACGAACGCUGGCGGCGUGCUUAACACAUGCAAGUCGAACGGACCGAGUUGAUAGCUUGCUAUUGAUGAUGUUAGUGGCAAACCGGUGAGUAAAGGGUAGGCUACCUGCCCUUCAAAUGGGGACAACACCUCGAAUGGGGUGCUAAUACCGAAUGACGUUUCCUGGUCUCAUGACCAGCAAACCAUAGGCCGGGCAACCGGUCACUGAACGAUGGGCCUGCGUCUGAUUAGCUAGGUGGUGGGGUAACGGCCCACCAAGGCCACAAUCAGUAGCCGGUCUGAGAGGAUGAACAGACACUUUGGGACUGAGACGCGGCCCAAACUCCUACCGGAGGCAUCAGUGAGGAAUCUUCCGCAAUGGGCGCAUGCGUGACGGAGCAACGCCGCGUGAGUGAAGAAGGUUUUCGUAUUGUAAAUCUGUGUUGAGAGGGACGAGAGAUAUAUUCUGGAAAUCGGUUAUAGAGGACUGUUCCUCUAGAGGAUGCCGCGUAUAUAUACGUCCCCGCAGCCGCUGUAAUAUGUAGGUCGCGAGUGUUCUCGGGAUUUAUUGGGUGUAAAGGGAGCGCAGGUGGGAAUGUAUGUCAGUUUUGAAAGUUCGGGGUUCAACCCGGUGAUGGUAUUGAAAUUAUUUUUUUGGAGUCCAGGAGAGGAAAGCGGAAUUCAUAGUGUAGCGGUGAAAUGGGUAGAGUUUAGGAGGACCACCAGUGGGGAAGGCGGCUUUCUGGACUGUAACUGACGCUGAGGCUCGAGAGUAGGGGACCGAACAGGAUUAGAUACUGUGGUAGUCCUCGCCGAAGACGAUGAAUAGUAGGUGUAGGGGUUGUCAUGACCUCUGUGGCGCCGCUCACACACAAUGUAUUCUGCGUGGGGAGUACGGUCGCAAGAUUUAAACUCAAAGGAAUUGGCGGGGGCACAGCACAAGCAGCGGAGCAUGUGGUUUAAUUCGAAGCGACGCGAAGAACCUUACCUAGACUUGACAUCUCCUGCAUUAAUAUUAAUCGAGGAAGUCUCUUCGGGGACAGACAGACAGGUGGUGCAUGGUUGUAGUCAGCUCGUGUCGUGAGAUGUUGGGUUAAGUCCCCGCAACGCGCGCAACCCCUAUUGUUUAGUGCUACGCAAGAGCACUCUAGCGAGACUGCCGGUGACAAAACGGAGGAAGGUGGGGACGACGUCAAAUCAUCAUGCCCCUUAUGUCCUGGGCUACACACGUAAUACAAUGGCCGUCACCAGAGGGAGGCAACACCGCAAGGCGGAGGGAACUCCUAAAAGCCGUCUCAGUUCAGAUUGCGGGCUGCAACCCGCCCACACGAAGUCGGAAUCGCUAGUAAUCGCGGAUCAGCACGCCGCGGUGAAUACGUUCCCGGGCCUUGCACACACCGCC
RNAcentral lists this ribosomal RNA (1401 nucleotides) under uncultured bacterium. RNAcentral's name for it is "16S ribosomal RNA". It matches the Rfam family "Bacterial small subunit ribosomal RNA". The record is from RNAcentral.